RNAcentral lists this ribosomal RNA (247 nucleotides) under uncultured bacterium. RNAcentral's name for it is "partial 16S ribosomal RNA". It matches the Rfam family "Bacterial small subunit ribosomal RNA", at positions 57 to 305 of the family's 1533-position model. The record is from RNAcentral.
GCAAGUCGAACGGAAACAUGUCUAGCUUGCUAGAUGAUGUCGAGUGGCGGACGGGUGAGUAAUGCCUGGGAAUUUGCCUUUGCGAGGGGGAUAACUAUUGGAAACGAUAGCUGAUACCGCAUAAUAGAUACGGCGCAAAGUAGGGACUUGAUGCUGGCGCGCAAAGAGGAGCCCAGGUGAGAUUAGCUAGUUGGUGAGGUAAAGGCUCACCAAGGCGACGAUCUCUAGCUGUUCUGAGAGGAAGAUC